GCCCUCGGAAACCCCGCGCCCGCCUCCGCCCGCCCGCACGCCAGAAACCUCGCCGCAGGAAACCGCCGACCCUACCACCCGCCCACCCUACCGCCCUACCGCCCGCCCGCAAAUCCUUCCGCCGCGAACCGCCCAACCACUCGCUCCCACGCCGCAAUCCCACCGCGAAAGCCGCGAACCCGACGCCUUCCACCAUCCCGCCGGCCGGGCGGCUUCUGGGGCCACCCCGAGGACGGCCACCGCUCGGGCGACGCGACCUUCAAGGGAGGGCCCCACGACGCGCGCCUCAAGGCCUUCUUCGUCUGCAACACCCACAUGUAGCCGGCUCGACGUUCUCCGCUAAUUCGCUUGGACGCCUCGCCGGCCGGAGGGAAAGGAAGAGUCGGAGUAGCCUGCCCGGCUGGGAACCGACAGCUUCUCCGUUUCAGAAGCACGCGGGCGGGGAGGUGGGGUCGGGAGAUCGCGGGGUGCUCCUUUGUCUCCAGGGCAGAGGAGAAACGCGCACGGCUGGGGAAGAACCGAAGAAGGAAGAGGAAGGUGCCGGUGGACCAAACACGGAUCUUUCAGUGGAGUUCGGGAAGAGUACUGGCACGCACGCCAAGGUUGCAUCUCCGCCGUCCACCACGAAGCGCACGCGAACCCGACGCCUUCCACCAUCCCGCCGGUCGGGCGGCUUCUGGGACCACCCCGAGGACGGCCACCGCCCGGGCGACGCGACCUUCAAGGGAGCUCGGCAUGUUCGACGGGGACCCCGCGGCCGAGCCGUUCGGGCGCCUGGGCCCCGCGGACGUGUGCUCCAGGGAGCACCAGGACCUGGCGCUCGACGCGCCGCGCCAGGGCGUCGUGCUCCUCAAGAACCGGAGCGGUGGGUGGCUACACCCAUACUUUGCAGCUACACCCAUACUUUGCAGUUACUUAAUUCGGAGCGGUGGGCGGCCGCUCCCUGCCCCGCUCCAUCUCGCCAGAGAAGGCAAAGAUCUAGCUGCCAAGUUCUGGCAGCUCUCUCUGUGUGAAUCAAACGAUACGUACAGGUAGAUGUAUUGGUGGGCCUGCUUCUUCAACAUCAUCAUCUCCUCCUCCGAUGCUGCUUACCUCUCAGUCCUCACCACUCCCCUCAUGGUGAAUGACCCUUCUGGCAGUUUUCCCAAAUCAAGUCUGAAUCGAGCACUUCAGUUGAGAGUAGUCACUCUGGAGUAGAGCAAUGGAGAAUUCAUUUGCACCUCUACAUAUUCAAGAAAUCCCUUGGGAAAGUGAGUACAUCUGACGUGUUUGAUGUCAAAGACUCUGAUUUGGUCCCAGGAAAAUAUGAAGGUGUCAAGUGGGUUGAAGCUUUGGGAAGGUUCAUUAGACUUGGUGAAGGCCCUGAAUUCUGAUAUCAAAGAAUAUAAAUUGCGUGUAGAAGGCAAACACGUAUUAGAGCUUGGAUGUGGACAUGGACUCCGUGGCAUUUUUGCAGGUCUCAAGUGGAGUAUAGUGAACUACAUCAUAAGCUGUAGCAUUCAUCGAUCCAGAUCCAAACGUCCUUCGGACUCUUCCUUCUGCAUUUGUGUGGAGUGGGGAUUCAUCCGGCCUUCUUCUCUUGCAGAUGAAAAGCGUCAUGAGAAAGGCAAAGCUGAGUUUAAGAAGGUUGUAGAAUCACUGGGACAUGUAAUACUCGGGUGGCGUCUGGUUCCGACUGACAACUCAGACUUGGGUGAAUCUGCACUCGAGACUGAGCCAGUCAUUGAGCAGGUUUUCGUUACCAAGAGCUCAAGAUCAGAGGCUGAGUUUGAGCAACAGGGCGGCGGUGGGCAUGCUGCUCGGCGGCGAGGACAUGCACAGGUUCCCGGUGCGCUCCCCGCGGAUGGACCGCGGCGACCUCAUCUGCAGUCCCGCCGCGCGGCAGAUCGUGUCCAACUACUUCAGCAUGUUCGGGCCGGUGCAGGACGUGCGCAUCCCGUACCAGCAGAAGCACAUGUUCGGCUUCGUCACCUUCGUGUACGCCGAGACGGUGAAGGUCAUCCCAAGCAAGGGCAACCCGCACUUCGUGUGCUACGCGCGCGUGCUCGUCAAGCCCUACAAGGAGAAGGGCAAGAUCCCCGGCAGGUUCAGGAAGCUGCAGCACGCGCACCAUGGCGGAGCCGAGUUCGGCGAUUGCGCGUCGCCCACCAGAUUGCUGGAUUUCAGGGACCCCUACGCCCUCCUGCUUCUUUCAGGUGCCCAGGUUUUCUCCUGGGCAUGAAGCCAUUGGGCUAUGAUGUGUGAGGUGCAUAGAGCAAAAAAAGGGGAAGGGGGGCCCUCCAUUCCUCUAAUCUGGGAGGGACUACUAAUAUGGCUACAUGAUGGCCGGCCCUAUCAACCGAGCGUAGAGAAGCUUUGACAAAGAAAAAAGAAAUACCUUUGGAGAGGUGUAAUCUUAAGGAGGGGACAGUGAAGACAGCAACAGAGAAGAAACAAGUCCAGGUUGUUUUUUUAGCUCUUAGGCCUAUGAUAAGUAUAUGAUAGUGAGUGAGUAGUAGGCAUAAAUAAUAAUAGUAGUAGUAGUUAAUUAGUAGUCGUUUGUUAGUAGAUGCUGCCAGUGUCAAGAAGGUGAUGAAAAGGCACACUCCAGCUCUCUCCUAUGCUCGUUUGUGGCAUGGAUGGAUCUCUCACUGUUGCUAUGAUAUGUUGUUUUAUUUACAAUAUCGUGUGAAUAAAUAUUUAAUG
Zea mays is the source of this 2685-nucleotide RNA transcript. It is a transcript of the gene named methyltransferase superfamily protein, glutamine amidotransferase superfamily protein, and Rho superfamily protein fusion pseudogene, with no coding region annotated. NCBI's taxonomy places the organism in Eukaryota, Viridiplantae, Streptophyta, Magnoliopsida, Poales, Poaceae. The transcript has 13 exons. The record is from RefSeq and is marked validated.